RNAcentral lists this ribosomal RNA (421 nucleotides) under uncultured bacterium. RNAcentral describes it as "bacterial SSU rRNA". It matches the Rfam family "Bacterial small subunit ribosomal RNA", at positions 355 to 776 of the family's 1533-position model. The record is from RNAcentral.
UGGGGAAUCUUGCGCAAUGGCCGAAAGGCUGACGCAGCGACGCCGCGUGUGGGAGGACGCCCUUCGGGGUGUAAACCACUGUUGCCCGGGACGAAACUCCUUUUUCGAGAGGACUGACGGUACCGGGUGAGGAAGCACCGGCUAACUCCGUGCCAGCAGCCGCGGUAAUACGGAGGGUGCGAGCGUUGUCCGGAAUCACUGGGCGUAAAGGGCGCGUAGGUGGCACGGCAAGCGUGCGGUGAAAGCCCGGGGCUCAACUCCGGGUCGGCCGUGCGAACUGCCGUGCUGGAGCAUGGUAGAGGCAGGUGGAAUUCCGGGUGUAGCGGUGGAAUGCGUAGAGAUCCGGAAGAACACCGGUGGCGAAGGCGGCCUGCUGGGCCAUGGCUGACACUGAGGCGCGACAGCGUGGGGAGCAAACAGG